CUCUCGGCUGGCGCCCGGCGGGGCUCCGGGGCUCCGGGGCUCCGGGGCUCCUCUCCCGCCGCCCGGCUCCCCUCGGCCCACGGCAGGGCCCCGGUGUCCUGGGCUGGCAGCGAAGCUCGGAGCUCUGGGCGUGCGGCGGCUGCGGUGGCUCCUGGGCUCCUCCGUCCAACCCGGGCCGCGGAGCCUCUACGCGCACCCCAUCCCCCUCCCGGCUGCGGAGUCUGGCGGCGGCGGGGACUGCUCGGGACCCGGACCCCCGGCGCCUUUCGUCCCCUGUCCCCAUUGUGACCUGUCUCUUGGCCCCGGAGCCCUCCCGCCCCACCCGCGCCGGGGUCUCCAGCGCGAAGGGCUCAGUCUCUGGUGUCCCCGGCCUGGGGCUGGCAAGCUGGGUUAGGAGCUAUGACCUUGGGGCAAAUAGGGAUACGAUCCUAGAGGCGCAGGGGAGCGCGCAGCAUGAGUGCUGAGAGGCACGCGCCCUCUGCUGCACGGCCGUGGAAUAAAACGAGACAACGGCCCCACAGUCCCCUGCCCGCAGCCCACGCUCGGGCGAGCCUGGAGGAUUGCAUUUCCUCGUAGGCUGGCAGAGCCUUACAUGAAGCGCUCAUCUUCUCCUACUUUCCUCCUCUUUAAAAAAUUAACGUGGGUGAGGAGACGUCCUAGUUGAGUACAUAUUGAUUUGAAAUAACCAAAACUUUUAACAAAUCACUUUUCUCAGAAGAAUCCAGUAAGAGAAAGAUAAUUUCUUCCAAAGACAUGAGACGUUCCCUGGCUGGCCAAGAAAAAUUGGCAUCUGGCAUACCUAGGAAUCAUUCAAAAUAGUUUAAUAGGAAGGACAUUUUGAGGCCAGCCAGCAUUAUGACAUUUGUGGGUCCUACGGCAUUUCACCUUGGAAACAUUUUCCUGGGCAUCUAAAAGUAUUGUGGACCUGAGACACUGUGCUUACAGGGCCUACUGGGUUGAUUCUAAAGAAGAAAGAAAAUCUAUAUGCAUGAAAAGAUGUCUUAAAAAGUUUUGAACUACUCAAAGUUAAGAUUUGGGGAAAUAGAAAUAGUAUAUAACUUAAGAAAAUUGCCACUGGCUGUGAACCCCCAUGGCAUUUUCUUUGCACUUUUUUGCUUCUCGUUAGAUUGUAUGUGUUUUUACCAUUUCACACAAACUUUUAAAGAUUAUUCCACGCCGUUAGCUCUGUGCUUCUAUUAGUGUCUCUAUCUCUCUUUCUCUCUCUCUUCCAUCUGAGUACAAUGGCUAGAAAAUAAUACACACUUGAAUGAAUAAAUGUCAUUUAAAUAUUUUAAUAAACAGAAGGAAUAGUACAAUAUAUUUCCCUUGACCAAUGUAUUGUGAUUGCUUUUUUCUUUCUUUUUUUUUAAAUCUUUUGCU
Molecule: long non-coding RNA, 1380 nt
Filed under: Homo sapiens (human)
Lineage: Eukaryota; Metazoa; Chordata; Mammalia; Primates; Hominidae
Description: non-protein coding CA3-AS1:15
Source: RNAcentral